UGAGGAAUAUUGGUCAAUGGUCGCAAGACUGAACCAGCCAAGUAGCGUGAGGGAAGACUGCCCUAUGGGUUGUAAACCUCUUUUAUCUGGGGAUAAAGUGAGCCACGUGUGGUUUAUUACAGGUACCAGAAGAAUAAGGACCGGCUAAUUCCGUGCCAGCAGCCGCGGUAAUACGGAAGGUCCAGGCGUUAUCCGGAUGUAUUGGGUUUAAAGGGAGCGUAGGCCGCUUGGUAAGCGGGCAGUGAAAUGCAGAGGCUCAACCUCUGACUGGCUGUUCGAACUGCCAGGCUUGAGUACGCACGAGGUAGGCGGAAUUUGUGGUGUAGCGGUGAAAUGCUUAGAUAUCACAAAGAACUCCAAUUGCGAAGGCAGCUUACCGGAGCGCAACUGACGCUGAAGCUCGAAAGUGCGGGUAUCGAACA
RNAcentral lists this ribosomal RNA (422 nucleotides) under uncultured prokaryote. RNAcentral's name for it is "bacterial SSU rRNA". It matches the Rfam family "Bacterial small subunit ribosomal RNA", at positions 355 to 774 of the family's 1533-position model. The record is from RNAcentral.